ACCCACACUAACCCCGCGCCAGGGAACUACGAGCCUUAGCUUAAAACCCAAAGGACUUGACGGUGUCCCACCCAACUAGAGGAGCCUGUUCUAUAAUCGAUAACCCCCGCUUCACCCAACCCCCCCUUGCUUUAUCAGCCUGUAUACCUCCGUCGUAAACCCGCCGUAUGAAUGUACUUAAGCGGAUUCAAUGGUCUCCCACCAACACGUCAGGUCAAGGUGCAGCCAAUGGGGGUGGUAAGUAAUGGGCUACAAUUUCUAACCUAGAACAAACGAAGUACUGUAUGAAACACAGUCAUGAAGGAGGAUUUAGUAGUAAAAAGAAAGUAGCGUGUUCUUUUUAACACGGCCCUGGGACGUGU
RNAcentral lists this ribosomal RNA (362 nucleotides) under Hoplobatrachus rugulosus (rugose frog). RNAcentral describes it as "partial 12S ribosomal RNA". It matches the Rfam family "Bacterial small subunit ribosomal RNA", at positions 853 to 1384 of the family's 1533-position model. Lineage: Eukaryota; Metazoa; Chordata; Amphibia; Anura; Dicroglossidae. The record is from RNAcentral.